Mandrillus leucophaeus (drill) is the source of this 899-nucleotide RNA transcript. RefSeq lists it as uncharacterized. The record is from RefSeq and is a predicted model, not a curated record. NCBI's taxonomy places the organism in Eukaryota, Metazoa, Chordata, Mammalia, Primates, Cercopithecidae. The transcript is spliced from 3 exons.
AUGACAAGGACCACCAGGAGUGUGACCCAGGACAAGAAGCAGAACUGGGAUGAUCCCUGCCACCCUGUUCAGCAACACUUCCAGGGCAGCAAGUCCCCAGAAACCCACAAAGACCCUCUACACCAACGCCCUCAACUCCCAAAGCCAACUCAAAGAGAAGCAGAACUUCCUGUCAGCCCACAGACAGGAAGUGAGCUGCGGGAAAGCGCUGGCUGCCAGCCUCCUCGUUCCACACUGGACCAGGGGCAGGGGUUCCUCUCAGAGACCAACCAGAGCAAAGCGGCUCGCAGGGCAAGGUCUGAGAGAGGAGCAGAAGCCCAGAAGCAGAAGUCAGACCACGGACGGGCAGGGACAGUCAUCUCAAGAGAAAGCCAGGCAGAAGGCGAGAGGAAGAAAAAGGCGGUGCCGGCAGCGAGGGAUGUGGAUACCCCGAGCGGCACCAACAGCGGCGCGGACAAGAAGCGCUUUGAAGUGAAAAAGUGGAAUGCAAUAGCCCUCUGGGCCUGGGAUAUUGUGGUUGAUAACUGUGCCAUCUGCAGGAACCACAUUAUAGAUCUUUGUAUAGAAUGUCAAGCUAACCAGGCGUCCGCUACUUCAGAAGAAUGUACGGUCGCAUGGGGAGUCUGUAAUCAAGCUUUUCAUUCCACUGCAUCUCUCGCUGGCUCAAAACAGGACAGGUGUGUCCAUUGGACAACAGAGAGUGCGAAUUCCAACAGUAUGGGCACUAGGAAAAGACUUCUUCCAUCAAGCUUAAUUGUUUUGUUAUUCAUUUAAUGACUUUCCCUGCUGUUACCUAAUGACAGAUUAGAUGGAUCCGUGUUUUUUCUGCUUUGUUUUUUCAGUUUGCUGUUUCUGUAGCCAUAUUGUAUUCUGUGUCAGAUAAAGUCCAGUUGGAGUCU